RNAcentral lists this ribosomal RNA (1467 nucleotides) under Escherichia coli. RNAcentral describes it as "partial 23S ribosomal RNA". It matches the Rfam family "Bacterial large subunit ribosomal RNA", at positions 1 to 1512 of the family's 2925-position model. Lineage: Bacteria; Pseudomonadati; Pseudomonadota; Gammaproteobacteria; Enterobacterales; Enterobacteriaceae. The record is from RNAcentral.
GGUUAAGCGACUAAGCGUACACGGUGGAUGCCCUGGCAGUCAGAGGCGAUGAAGGACGUGCUAAUCUGCGAUAAGCGUCGGUAAGGUGAUAUGAACCGUUAUAACCGGCGAUUUCCGAAUGGGGAAACCCAGUGUGUUUCGACACACUAUCAUUAACUGAAUCCAUAGGUUAAUGAGGCGAACCGGGGGAACUGAAACAUCUAAGUACCCCGAGGAAAAGAAAUCAACCGAGAUUCCCCCAGUAGCGGCGAGCGAACGGGGAGCAGCCCAGAGCCUGAAUCAGUGUGUGUGUUAGUGGAAGCGUCUGGAAAGGCGCGCGAUACAGGGUGACAGCCCCGUACACAAAAAUGCACAUGCUGUGAGCUCGAUGAGUAGGGCGGGACACGUGGUAUCCUGUCUGAAUAUGGGGGGACCAUCCUCCAAGGCUAAAUACUCCUGACUGACCGAUAGUGAACCAGUACCGUGAGGGAAAGGCGAAAAGAACCCCGGCGAGGGGAGUGAAAAAGAACCUGAAACCGUGUACGUACAAGCAGUGGGAGCACGCUUAGGCGUGUGACUGCGUACCUUUUGUAUAAUGGGUCAGCGACUUAUAUUCUGUAGCAAGGUUAACCGAAUAGGGGAGCCGAAGGGAAACCGAGUCUUAACUGGGCGUUAAGUUGCAGGGUAUAGACCCGAAACCCGGUGAUCUAGCCAUGGGCAGGUUGAAGGUUGGGUAACACUAACUGGAGGACCGAACCGACUAAUGUUGAAAAAUUAGCGGAUGACUUGUGGCUGGGGGUGAAAGGCCAAUCAAACCGGGAGAUAGCUGGUUCUCCCCGAAAGCUAUUUAGGUAGCGCCUCGUGAAUUCAUCUCCGGGGGUAGAGCACUGUUUCGGCAAGGGGGUCAUCCCGACUUACCAACCCGAUGCAAACUGCGAAUACCGGAGAAUGUUAUCACGGGAGACACACGGCGGGUGCUAACGUCCGUCGUGAAGAGGGAAACAACCCAGACCGCCAGCUAAGGUCCCAAAGUCAUGGUUAAGUGGGAAACGAUGUGGGAAGGCCCAGACAGCCAGGAUGUUGGCUUAGAAGCAGCCAUCAUUUAAAGAAAGCGUAAUAGCUCACUGGUCGAGUCGGCCUGCGCGGAAGAUGUAACGGGGCUAAACCAUGCACCGAAGCUGCGGCAGCGACGCUUAUGCGUUGUUGGGUAGGGGAGCGUUCUGUAAGCCUGUGAAGGUGUACUGUGAGGUAUGCUGGAGGUAUCAGAAGUGCGAAUGCUGACAUAAGUAACGAUAAAGCGGGUGAAAAGCCCGCUCGCCGGAAGACCAAGGGUUCCUGUCCAACGUUAAUCGGGGCAGGGUGAGUCGACCCCUAAGGCGAGGCCGAAAGGCGUAGUCGAUGGGAAACAGGUUAAUAUUCCUGUACUUGGUGUUACUGCGAAGGGGGGACGGAGAAGGCUAUGUUGGCCGGGCGACGGUUGUCCCGGUU